Molecule: ribosomal RNA, 253 nt
Filed under: uncultured prokaryote
Description: partial 16S ribosomal RNA
Rfam family: Bacterial small subunit ribosomal RNA
Source: RNAcentral
UACGAAGGGGGCUAGCGUUGCUCGGAAUUACUGGGCGUAAAGGGCGCGUAGGCGGAUGUUUAAGUCAGAGGUGAAAGCCCAGGGCUCAACCCUGGAAUUGCCUUUGAUACUGGACAUCUUGAGUACGGGAGAGGUGAGUGGAAUGCCGAGUGUAGAGGUGAAAUUCGUAGAUAUUCGGCGGAACACCAGUGGCGAAGGCGACUCACUGGCCCGAUACUGACGCUGAGGCGCGAAAGCGUGGGGAGCAAACAGG